This 515-nucleotide ribosomal RNA is filed under the name uncultured bacterium. RNAcentral's name for it is "partial 16S ribosomal RNA". It matches the Rfam family "Bacterial small subunit ribosomal RNA", at positions 28 to 523 of the family's 1533-position model. The record is from RNAcentral.
GAUGAACGCUGGCGGCGUGCCUAAUACAUGCAAGUCGAGCGAAUGGAUUAAGAGCUUGCUCUUAUGAAGUUAGCGGCGGACGGGUGAGUAACACGUGGGUAACCUGCCCAUAAGACUGGGAUAACUCCGGGAAACCGGGGCUAAUACCGGAUAACAUUUUGAACCGCAUGGGUCGAAAUUGAAAGGCGGAUUCGGCUGUCACUUAUGGAUGGACCCGCGUCGCAUUAGCUAGUUGGUGAGGUAACGGCUCACCAAGGCAACGAUGCGUAGCCGACCUGAGAGGGUGAUCGGCCACACUGGGACUGAGACACGGCCCAGACUCCUACGGGAGGCAGCAGUAGGGAAUCUUCCGCAAUGGACGAAAGUCUGACGGAGCAACGCCGCGUGAGUGAUGAAGGCUUUCAGGUCGUAAAACUCUGUUGUUAGGGAAGAACAAGUGCUAGUUGAAUAAGCUGGCACCUUGACGGUACCUAACCAGAAAGCCACGGCUAACUACGUGCCAGCCGCCGCAGUAA